This 76-nucleotide transfer RNA is filed under the name Bradyrhizobium sp. C9. RNAcentral's name for it is "tRNA-OTHER". It matches the Rfam family "tRNA". From Rfam's summary of the family: Transfer RNA (tRNA) molecules are approximately 80 nucleotides in length. Their secondary structure includes four short double-helical elements and three loops (D, anti-codon, and T loops). The record is from RNAcentral. Lineage: Bacteria; Pseudomonadati; Pseudomonadota; Alphaproteobacteria; Hyphomicrobiales; Nitrobacteraceae.
UCAGGGAUCGUCUAAAGGUAGGACACCCGCCCCUACAAGGGUGGAGAUGUCGGUCCGAGUCCGGCUCCCUGAACCA